RNAcentral lists this ribosomal RNA (433 nucleotides) under uncultured bacterium. RNAcentral's name for it is "partial 16S ribosomal RNA". It matches the Rfam family "Bacterial small subunit ribosomal RNA", at positions 29 to 507 of the family's 1533-position model. The record is from RNAcentral.
AACGAACGCUGGCGGCAUGCCUAACACAUGCAAGUCGAACGAGACCUUCGGGUCUAGUGGCGCACGGGUGCGUAACGCGUGGGAACCUGCCCUUAGGUUCGGAAUAACUCCCCGAAAGGGGUGCUAAUACCGGAUAAUGUCUUCGGACCAAAGAUUUAUCGCCUUUGGAUGGGCCCGCGUUGGAUUAGCUAGUUGGUAGGGUAAAAGCCUACCAAGGCGACGAUCCAUAGCUGGUCUGAGAGGAUGAUAAGCCACACUGGGACUGAGACACGGCCCAGACUCCUACGGGAGGCAGCAGUGGGGAAUAUUGGACAAUGGGCGAAAGCCUGAGCCAGCAAUGCCGCGUGAGUGAUGAAGGCCUUAGGGUUGUAAAGCUCUUUUACCCGGGAUGAUAAUGACAGUACCGGGAGAAUAAGCUCCGGCUAACUCCGUG